This 484-nucleotide ribosomal RNA is filed under the name uncultured bacterium. Its description in RNAcentral is "partial 16S ribosomal RNA". It matches the Rfam family "Bacterial small subunit ribosomal RNA", at positions 28 to 523 of the family's 1533-position model. The record is from RNAcentral.
GACGAACGCUGGCGGCGUGCUUAACACAUGCAAGUCGAACGAUGAACCCGGAGCUUGCUCCGGUGGAUUAGUGGCGAACGGGUGAGUAACACGUGAGUAACCUGCCCUUGACUCUGGGAUAACUGCGGGAAACUGUAGCUAAUACCGGAUACGACCCUCGGCGGCAUCGCCAGGGGGUGGAAAGAAUUUCGGUCAAGGAUGGACUCGCGGCCUAUCAGCUAGUUGGUGAGGUAACGGCCCACCAAGGCAACGGCGGGUAGCCGGCCUGAGAGGGGGACAGGCCACACUGGGACUGAGACACGGCGCAGACUCCUACGGGAGGGAGCAGUGGGGAAUAUUGCACAAUGGGCGCAAGCCUGAUGCAGCAGCGCCGCGUGAGGGAUGACGGCCUUCGGGUUGUAAACCUCUUUUAGUAGGGAAGAAGCGAAAGUGACGGUACCUGCAGAAAAAGCACCGGCUAACUACGUGCCAGCCGCCGCCGUAA